This 201-nucleotide long non-coding RNA is filed under the name Lathyrus oleraceus (garden pea). RNAcentral describes it as "Pisum sativum (pea) long non-coding RNA (PSAT_LNC018823)". Lineage: Eukaryota; Viridiplantae; Streptophyta; Magnoliopsida; Fabales; Fabaceae. The record is from RNAcentral.
UAUACAUGACUUGCUGGUAUUGACUCCUCUUCCUCAUCAGCGUUCACCAUUGAAUCAACCAUGAUCUCGACUUCUUCUUCUUCGUCAUCUGGAACAUUCACCUCAGCUUGUUCAUGAUCAGUCUCACAAAACACUUGUGAUUGAUCAAUGAACUGAGACACAUGUUGCUGAUGUGGUAAUAUAUACAACUUUAUAUCAUUG